AACAGGAUUAGAUAGCCUGGUAGUCCACGCCGUAAACGAUGAGUGCUAGGUGUUAGGCCCUUUCCGGGGCUUAGUGCCGCAGCUAACGCAUUAAGCACUCCGCCUGGGGAGUACGACCGCAAGGUUGAAACUCAAAGGAAUUGACGGGGGCCCGCACAAGCGGUGGAGCAUGUGGUUUAAUUCGAAGCAACGCGAAGAACCUUACCAGGUCUUGACAUCCCGAUGCUAUUUCUAGAGAUAGAAAGUUUCUUCGGAGCAUCGGUGACAGGUGGUGCAUGGUUGUCGUCAGCUCGUGUCGUGAGAUGUUGGGCUAAGUCCCGCAACGAGCGCAACCCCUAUUGUUAGUUGCCAUCAUUCAGUUGGGCACUCUAGCGAGACUGCCGGUAAUAAACCGGAGGAAGGUGGGGACGACGUCAAAUCAUCAUGCCCCUUAUGACCUGGGCUACACACGUGCUACAAUGGUUGGUACAACGAGUCGCAAGUCGGUGACGGCAAGCAAAUCUCUUAAAGCCAAUCUCAGUUCGGAUUGUAGGCUGCAACUCGCCUACAUGAAGUCGGAAUCGCUAGUAAUCGCGGAUCAGCACGCCGCGGUGAAUACGUUCCCGGGUCUUGUACACACCG
Molecule: ribosomal RNA, 621 nt
Filed under: uncultured bacterium
Lineage: Bacteria
Description: bacterial SSU rRNA
Rfam family: Bacterial small subunit ribosomal RNA
Source: RNAcentral